RNAcentral lists this ribosomal RNA (468 nucleotides) under uncultured bacterium. RNAcentral describes it as "partial 16S ribosomal RNA". It matches the Rfam family "Bacterial small subunit ribosomal RNA", at positions 28 to 507 of the family's 1533-position model. The record is from RNAcentral.
GACGAACGCUGGCGGCGUGCUUAACACAUGCAAGUCGAACGGAAAGGCCCUGCUUUUGUGGGGUGCUCGAGUGGCGAACGGGUGAGUAACACGUGAGUCACCUGCCCUUGACUUUGGGAUAACUUCAGGAAACUGGGGCUAAUACCGGAUAGGCGCUCCCGCUGCAUGGUGGGGGUUGGAAAGUUUCGGCGGUUGGGGAUGGACUCGCGGCUUAUCAGCUUGUUGGUGGGGUAGUGGCUUACCAAGGCUUUGACGGGUAGCCGGCCUGAGAGGGUGACCGGCCACAUUGGGACUGAGAUACGGCCCAGACUCCUACGGGAGGCAGCAGUGGGGAAUAUUGCACAAUGGGCGGAAGCCUGAUGCAGCAACGCCGCGUGCGGGAUGACGGCCUUCGGGUUGUAAACCGCUUUCGCCUGUGACGAAGCGUGAGUGACGGUAAUGGGUAAAGAAGCACCGGCUAACUACGUG